GAGCGGCGAACGGGUGAGUAACACGUGAGUAACCUGCCCUCAACUUCGGGAUAAGCCUGGGAAACCGGGUCUAAUACCGGAUAUGACUCCUGGUGGCAUCGCCGGGGGUGGAAAGAUUUUUUGGUUGGGGAUGGGCUCGCGGCCUAUCAGCUUGUUGGUGGGGUAGUGGCCUACCAAGGCGACGACGGGUAGCCGGCCUGAGAGGGCGACCGGCCACACUGGGACUGAGACACGGCCCAGACUCCUACGGGAGGCAGCAGUGGGGAAUAUUGCGCAAUGGGCGGAAGCCUGACGCAGCGACGCCGCGUGGGGGAUGACGGCCUUCGGGUUGUAAACCUCUUUCAGCAGGGACGAAGUUGACGUGUACCUGUAGAAGAAGCGCCGGCUAACUACGUGCCAGCAGCCGCGGUAAUACGUAGGGCGCGAGCGUUGUCCGGAAUUAUUGGGCGUAAAGAGCUCGUAGGUGGCUGGUCGCGUCUGCCGUGAAAGCCCAUGGCUUAACUGUGGGUCUGCGGUGGAUACGGGCCGGCUAGAGGUAGGUAGGGGCAAGCGGAAUUCCU
This 560-nucleotide ribosomal RNA is filed under the name Acrocarpospora sp. 322D02. Its description in RNAcentral is "bacterial SSU rRNA". It matches the Rfam family "Bacterial small subunit ribosomal RNA", at positions 93 to 671 of the family's 1533-position model. The record is from RNAcentral. Lineage: Bacteria; Bacillati; Actinomycetota; Actinomycetes; Streptosporangiales; Streptosporangiaceae. RNAcentral also lists the same sequence under 1 other name.